AGAGUGCACAUUAAUUAUCUCUAAGGCCAUGGGAUAAACAAAAACCCCUAUAAAACCAAGUUAACACACCCUAGAAUGGCUCUAAAACGAUUACUAACCUAUGGCUCUGAUACUAAUUGAUGGGAAAACCCC
RNAcentral lists this microRNA precursor (132 nucleotides) under Vitis vinifera (wine grape). Its description in RNAcentral is "MIR845_2 microRNA precursor family". It matches the Rfam family "MIR845_2 microRNA precursor family". Lineage: Eukaryota; Viridiplantae; Streptophyta; Magnoliopsida; Vitales; Vitaceae. The record is from Rfam by way of RNAcentral.